UGAGUACGGCGGAACACGUGAAAUUCCGUCGGAAUCCGGGAGGACCAUCUCCCAAGGCUAAAUACUACCUAGUGACCGAUAGUGAACCAGUACCGUGAGGGAAAGGUGAAAAGCACCCCGGGAGGGGAGUGAAAUAGUUCCUGAAACCAUGUGCCUACAAUAAGUCAGAGCGCGUUAAUGCGUGAUGGCGUGCCUUUUGUAGAAUGAACCGGCGAGUUAUGAUCCCGUGCAAGGUUAAGACUAAAAAGUCGGAGCCGUAGCGAAAGCGAGUCUGAAAUGGGCGUUUUGAGUACGAGGUUAUAGACCCGAAACCAGGUGACCUAUCCAUGUCCAGGUUGAAGGUGCGGUAAAACGCACUGGAGGACCGAACCCGUGUAAGUUGAAAAUUGCUGGGAUGAGGUGUGGAUAGCGGUGAAAUUCCAAACGAACUUGGAGAUAGCUGGUUCUCUCCGAAAUAGCUUUAGGGCUAGCCUCGGAAUUAGGAUCAUGGAGGUAGAGCACUAUUUGGACUAGGGGCCCGUCUUGGGUUACUGAAUUCAGAUAAACUCCGAAUGCCAUUGAUUCAUAUCCGGGAGUCAGACGAUGAGUGAUAAGAUCCACCGUCGAAAGGGGAACAGCCCAGACCAUCAGUUAAGGUCCCUAAAUGUAUGCUAAGUGGAAAAGGAUGUGGAGUUGCAUAGACAACUAGGAUGUUGGCUCAGAAGCAGCCACCAUUUAAAGAGUGCGUAAUAGCUCACUAGUCGAGUGAUCCUGCGCCGAAAAUGUACCGGGGCUAAGCAUACUACCGAAACCAUGGAUGCGACCAUUAGGUCGCGUGAUAGGAGAGCGUUCUAAGGGCGGUGAAGCAAGAUCGUGAGGACUUGUGGAGCGCUUAGAAGUGAGAAUGCCGGUAUGAGUAGCGAAAGAUAGGUGAGAAUCCUAUCCACCGAAUGACUAAGGUUUCCUGGGGAAGGCUCGUCCUCCCAGGGUUAGUCGGGACCUAAGUCGAGGCCGAGAGGCGUAGACGAUGGAUAACAGGUUGAGAUUCCUGUACUAGUUAAGUGCGUUUGAGCAAUGGAGGGACGCAGGAGGCUAAGAUGUGCAUUCUGUUGGAUUAGAAUGUCCAAGCAGUAAGUCUUGUGAAGAGUCAAAUGCUUUUCACUUUAAGGACAAGCUGUGAUGGGGAGCGAAAUUUAGUAGCGAAGCGUCUGAUGUCACACUGCCGAGAAAAGCUUCUAGUGAGUACUUAACUACCCGUACCGCAAACCGACACAGGUAGUCGAGGAGAGAAUCCUAAGGUGAGCGAGUGAACUCUCGUUAAGGAACUCGGCAAAAUGACCCCGUAACUUCGGGAGAAGGGGUGCUGAUCGCAAGAUCAGCCGCAGUGAAUAGGCCCAGGCGACUGUUUAUCAAAAACACAGGUCUCUGCAAAAUCGUAAGAUGACGUAUAGGGGCUGACGCCUGCCCGGUGCUGGAAGGUUAAAAGGAUGGGUUAGCUUCGGCGAAGCUCAGAAUUGAAGCCCCAGUAAACGGCGGCCGUAACUAUAACGGUCCUAAGGUAGCGAAAUUCCUUGUCGGGUAAGUUCCGACCCGCACGAAAGGCGUAACGAUCUGGGCACUGUCUCAACG
RNAcentral lists this ribosomal RNA (1608 nucleotides) under Bifidobacterium longum. Its description in RNAcentral is "partial 23S ribosomal RNA". It matches the Rfam family "Bacterial large subunit ribosomal RNA", at positions 409 to 2026 of the family's 2925-position model. The record is from RNAcentral. Lineage: Bacteria; Bacillati; Actinomycetota; Actinomycetes; Bifidobacteriales; Bifidobacteriaceae.